Molecule: ribosomal RNA, 679 nt
Filed under: uncultured bacterium
Lineage: Bacteria
Description: bacterial SSU rRNA
Rfam family: Bacterial small subunit ribosomal RNA
Source: RNAcentral
CUUAACACAUGCAAGUCGAACGAGAAAGGAAGAGCUUGCUCUUCCUGAAAGUGGCGAACGGGUGAGUAACGCGUGGGUAACCUACCCUUUGGAAAGGAAUAGCCUCGGGAAACUGGGAGUAAUGCCUUAUAAGAUACGUUUGUCGCAUGGCAUUUGUAUUAAACGCUCCGGCGCCAUAGGAUGGACCCGCGUCCCAUUAGCUAGUUGGUGAGAUAACAGCUCACCAAGGCCACGAUGGGUAACCGGUCUGAGAGGGCGAACGGUCACACUGGAACUGAGACACGGUCCAGACUCCUACGGGAGGCAGCAGUGGGGAAUAUUGCGCAAUGGGGGCAACCCUGACGCAGCAAUACCGCGUGAGUGAAGAAGGUUUUCGGAUCGUAAAGCUCUGUUAUUGGGGAAGAAAAAAAGACGGUACCCAAGAAGAAAGUUCCGGCUAACUACGUGCCAGCAGCCGCGGUAAUACGUAGGGAACAAGCGUUGUCCGGAUUUACUGGGCGUAAAGGGCACGCAGGCGGUUUUUUAAGUCAGAUGUGAAAGGCCACAGCUCAACUGUGGACAUGCAUUUGAAACUGAAAGACUUGAGUAUUGGAGAGGCAAGUGGAAUUCCUAGUGUAGCGGUGAAAUGCGUAGAUAUUAGGAGGAACACCGGUGGCGAAGGCGGCUUGCUGGACAAAUA